Molecule: ribosomal RNA, 467 nt
Filed under: uncultured bacterium
Lineage: Bacteria
Description: bacterial SSU rRNA
Rfam family: Bacterial small subunit ribosomal RNA
Source: RNAcentral
UAGGGAAUAUUGGACAAUGGGUGAGAGCCUGAUCCAGCCAUGCCGCGUGCAGGAAGAAGGCGUUAUGCGUUGUAAACUGCUUUUUGCCAGGGGAUAAAAAGACCGUGCGCGGUUAAUUGAAGGUACCUGGUGAAUAAGCCACGGCUAACUACGUGCCAGCAGCCGCGGUAAUACGUAGGUGGCAAGCGUUGUCCGGAUUUAUUGGGUUUAAAGGGUGCGUAGGUGGCCCUGUAAGUCAGUGGUGAAAUAUCUCAGCUUAACUGAGAGGGUGCCAUUGAUACUGCAGGGCUUGAGUACAGAUGAGGUAGGCGGAAUUGACGGUGUAGCGGUGAAAUGCAUAGAUAUCGUCAAGAACACAGAUAGCGAAGGCAGCUUACCAAGCUGUAACUGACACUGAGGCACGAAAGUGUGGGGAUCAAACAGGAUUAGAUACCCCUGUAGUCCCUGAGCGGGCUGGCAAGGCGCAU